This 440-nucleotide ribosomal RNA is filed under the name uncultured bacterium. Its description in RNAcentral is "partial 16S ribosomal RNA". It matches the Rfam family "Bacterial small subunit ribosomal RNA", at positions 338 to 795 of the family's 1533-position model. The record is from RNAcentral.
CCUACGGGUGGCAGCAGUGGGGAAUAUUGCACAAUGGGGGAAACCCUGAUGCAGCGACGCCGCGUGAGUGAAGAAGUAAGUCGGUAUGUAAAGCUCUAUCAGCAGGGAAGAAAAUGACGGUACCUGAGUAAGAAGCCCCGGCUAACUACGUGCCAGCAGCCGCGGUAAUACGUAGGGGGCAAGCGUUAUCCGGAUUUACUGGGUGUAAAGGGAGCGUAGACGGCAGUGCAAGUCUGGAGUGAAAGGCGGGGGCUCAACCCCCGGACUGCUCUGGAAACUGUACGGCGGGAGUGCAGGAGAGGUAAGUGGAAUUCCUAGUGUAGCGGUGAAAUGCGUAGAUAUUAGGAGGAACACCAGUGGCGAAGGCGGCUUACUGGACUGUAACUGACGUUGAGGCUCGAAAGCGUGGGGAGCAAACAGGAUUAGAUACCAUGGUAGUC